Molecule: ribosomal RNA, 1389 nt
Filed under: Triticum aestivum (bread wheat)
Lineage: Eukaryota; Viridiplantae; Streptophyta; Magnoliopsida; Poales; Poaceae
Description: partial small subunit ribosomal RNA
Source: RNAcentral
AUGCUUUCACAACUUGACUUCAAAAUAUUUGGUUUGGAGACCAUCAAAGAUCAAUAUGUGCAUGAUGCUGAUUUUAAAGAUGUAAUGCAGAAUUGUAAAGAAGGAAGAAUGUGGAACAAGUUUGUUGUUAACGAUGGAUUUGUGUUUCGUGCUAACAAGCUAUGCAUUCCAGCUAGCUCCGUUCGUCUUAUGUUGUUGCAGGAGGCGCAUGGAGGAGGAUUAAUGGGACACUUUGGCGUGAAGAAGACAGAGGAUGUACUUGCUACACAUUUCUUUUGGCCAAAGAUGAGACGGGAUGUUGAGCGUUUUAUUGCUCGCUGCACUACAUGUCAAAAAGCUAAGUCACGACUCAAUCCUCAUGGUUUAUAUAUGCCUUUGCCUGUACCUAGUGUUCCUUGGGAGGAUAUAUCUAUGGACUUUGUUUUAGGUUUACCUCGAACAAAGAAGGGGAGGGAUAGCAUAUUUGUAGUCGUGGAUAGAUUCUCGAAAAUGGCACACUUUAUACCAUGUCAUAAAAGCGAUGAUGCUGUUAAUGUUGCUGAUUUGUUCUUUCGUGAAAUUAAUCGUGAUACUAAAUUUCUUAGCCACUUUUGGAGAUGUUUAUGGGCUAAGUUGGGGACCAAACUGCUUUUUAGUACUACUUGUCACCCCCAAACUGAUGGACAAACUGAAGUAGUCAAUAGAACGUUGUCUACUAUGCUUAGGGCUGUUUUGAAGAAUAAUAAGAAAAUGUGGGAGGAAUGCUUGCCUCAUAUUGAAUUUGCUUAUAAUCGUUCAUUGCAUUCUACUACUAAGAUGUGCCCUUUUGAAGUUGUGUAUGGUUUCCUACCUCGUGCACCUAUUGAUUUGUUGCCUCUUCCAUCUUCGGAGAAGGUUAAUUUUGAUGCUAAACAACGUGCUGAAUUGAUUUUAAAAAUGCAUGAGUUAACUAAGGAAAACAUUGAGCGCAUGAAUGCUAAAUAUAAACUUGCUGGAGAUAAGGGUAGAAAACAUGUUGUGUUUGCACCUGGAGAUCUUGUUUGGUUACAUUUGCGUAAGGAUAGAUUUCCUGAUUUGCGCAAAUCAAAGUUAAUGCCACGUGUUGAUGGUCCCUUUAAGGUGUUAGAGAAAAUAAAUGAUAAUGCAUAUAAACUUGAGCUGCCUGCAGAUUUUGGGGUUAGUCCCACUUUUAACAUGGCAGAUUUGAAGCCUUAUUUGGGUGAGGAAGAUGAACUUCCGUCGAGGACGAUUUCAUUUCAAGAAGGGGAGGAUGAUGAGGACAUCAAUACAAUUGUUACACCCACAGCCCCUGCUGCUAUACAUACUGGACCAAUUACUAGAGCUCGUGCACGCCAACUAAAUUACCAGCGUGCUUCCGGCAUUGUCAGUAACCUCAGGAGAUUGGUUUAG